ACCCGGCUGGCUCAGUUGGUAGAGCAUGUGACUCUUGAUCUCGGGGUUGUGAGUUUGAGCCCCACACUGGGUG
This 73-nucleotide transfer RNA is filed under the name Mustela putorius furo (domestic ferret). It matches the Rfam family "tRNA". Rfam says of the family: Transfer RNA (tRNA) molecules are approximately 80 nucleotides in length. Their secondary structure includes four short double-helical elements and three loops (D, anti-codon, and T loops). RNAcentral also lists the same sequence under 1 other name. Lineage: Eukaryota; Metazoa; Chordata; Mammalia; Carnivora; Mustelidae. The record is from Rfam by way of RNAcentral.